AUGCAAUGUGCUUGUGCAAAGUCCUCGUGCAAAAGGUCCUCGUGCAAACGAUCCUCGUGCAAAGCGUGGUGCUUCAAUGCAGCCCCCCACUGUCCUGCAGUGCCAUGCAGCUCCCCCUCGUGCAAUGUCCUCGUGCAAGGCCCCGAUGCAGCUCUAUCACCACGUCCCUCGUGCAAGGCCGGGCCGUGGUGCAACGCGUCGUCCUCGUGCAAAGCCCACGUGCAAAGCGUCCAUGCACAGCCCCCAGUGCAGGGUCCUGUCGUGCAACGUGGGGCCUCUUCAUGCAAUUCAUCCUCCCGGCCAACAGGGGGCGCCCUCCCCACUUAUAAACCCCCCCAUAACCCCUAUAACACCUAUAACCUCCCUAUAACCCCUUAUAAACCCUAUAACCUCCCUAUAACACCCUAUAAACCCUAUAACCCUCCUAUAACCCCCCCUAUAAGCCCUAUAACCCCUAUAACCCCCCCUAUAACCCUCUAUAACCCCCCAUAACCCCCUAUAACCCCUAUAGCCCCCCCUAUAACCCCUAUAACCCCCCCUAUAGACCCUAUAACCCC
RNAcentral lists this long non-coding RNA (557 nucleotides) under Coturnix japonica (Japanese quail). RNAcentral's name for it is "lncRNA (ENSCJPG00005001816.1)". The record is from RNAcentral. Lineage: Eukaryota; Metazoa; Chordata; Aves; Galliformes; Phasianidae.